UGUGACAUUUUUGCAAUUUUCGGGAUAGUACAAGCCUCAGUUUUUUCAGAACCGAAGAAAUAUAGGGUCUAUGGCCUCAGUUGUCUAUAGAACCGAGGCCAUAACCCCCUACAAAACGCUGACAAUCUAGUUAGUUGUCUGAAGGAAAUCUAUGUACAAGAUUUUUGGCCUCGGUUACAUGCAAACCAAGGCCAUAACC
RNAcentral lists this long non-coding RNA (199 nucleotides) under Vigna radiata. RNAcentral describes it as "long non-coding RNA (VRAD_LNC005355)". The record is from RNAcentral. Lineage: Eukaryota; Viridiplantae; Streptophyta; Magnoliopsida; Fabales; Fabaceae.